RNAcentral lists this ribosomal RNA (846 nucleotides) under Micrococcus sp. RNAcentral describes it as "bacterial SSU rRNA". It matches the Rfam family "Bacterial small subunit ribosomal RNA", at positions 56 to 913 of the family's 1533-position model. The record is from RNAcentral. Lineage: Bacteria; Bacillati; Actinomycetota; Actinomycetes; Micrococcales; Micrococcaceae.
UGCAAGUCGAACGAUGAAGCCCAGCUUGCUGGGUGGAUUAGUGGCGAACGGGUGAGUAACACGUGAGUAACCUGCCCUUAACUCUGGGAUAAGCCUGGGAAACUGGGUCUAAUACCGGAUAGGAGCGUCCACCGCAUGGUGGGUGUUGGAAAGAUUUAUCGGUUUUGGAUGGACUCGCGGCCUAUCAGCUUGUUGGUGAGGUAAUGGCUCACCAAGGCGACGACGGGUAGCCGGCCUGAGAGGGUGACCGGCCACACUGGGACUGAGACACGGCCCAGACUCCUACGGGAGGCAGCAGUGGGGAAUAUUGCACAAUGGGCGCAAGCCUGAUGCAGCGACGCCGCGUGAGGGAUGACGGCCUUCGGGUUGUAAACCUCUUUCAGUAGGGAAGAAGCGAAAGUGACGGUACCUGCAGAAGAAGCACCGGCUAACUACGUGCCAGCAGCCGCGGUAAUACGUAGGGUGCGAGCGUUAUCCGGAAUUAUUGGGCGUAAAGAGCUCGUAGGCGGUUUGUCGCGUCUGUCGUGAAAGUCCGGGGCUUAACCCCGGAUCUGCGGUGGGUACGGGCAGACUAGAGUGCAGUAGGGGAGACUGGAAUUCCUGGUGUAGCGGUGGAAUGCGCAGAUAUCAGGAGGAACACCGAUGGCGAAGGCAGGUCUCUGGGCUGUAACUGACGCUGAGGAGCGAAAGCAUGGGGAGCGAACAGGAUUAGAUACCCUGGUAGUCCAUGCCGUAAACGUUGGGCACUAGGUGUGGGGACCAUUCCACGGUUUCCGCGCCGCAGCUAACGCAUUAAGUGCCCCGCCUGGGGAGUACGGCCGCAAGGCUAAAACUCAAAGGAAUUGA